RNAcentral lists this ribosomal RNA (376 nucleotides) under uncultured eukaryote. RNAcentral's name for it is "SSU rRNA". It matches the Rfam family "Eukaryotic small subunit ribosomal RNA", at positions 587 to 969 of the family's 1831-position model. The record is from RNAcentral.
AGCUCCAAUAGCGUAUAUUAAAGUUGUUGCAGUUAAAAAGCUCGUAGUUGGAUUUCGGAGUGGGCCAGUUGGUCCGCCGCAAGGUGUGUUACUGACUGGUUUGCUCUUCUUCGCAAAGACUGCGUGUGCUCUUCGUUGAGUGUGCGUAGGAUUUACGACGUUUACUUUGAAAAAAUUAGAGUGUUCAAAGCAGGCUAUUGCUUGAAUACAUGAGCAUGGAAUAAUGGAAUAGGACUUUGGUCCCAUUUUGUUGGUUUCUAGGACCGAAGUAAUGAUUAAGAGGGACAAUUGGGGGCAUCCGUAUUUCGUUGUCAGAGGUGAAAUUCUUGGAUUUACGAAAGACGAACAACUGCGAAAGCACUUGCCAAGAGUGUUU